Molecule: ribosomal RNA, 213 nt
Filed under: Triticum aestivum (bread wheat)
Lineage: Eukaryota; Viridiplantae; Streptophyta; Magnoliopsida; Poales; Poaceae
Description: partial small subunit ribosomal RNA
Source: RNAcentral
AUGAACCGGCCAAAACGUGCUGGUGGCAUUGGAUUCAGAGAUAUGCACCUUUUCAACUUAGCGCUCCUUGCCAAGCAUAGUUGGAGACUGCUCCAGAAACCAAACAAUUUGUGUGCAAGAGUGAUCAAGUCAAAAUAUUACCCACAUGGGAACCUACUUGACAUGGUGUUUGUGUCCGAUGCAUCCUCAGUUUGGACUUUGGAGAGGGAUUGA